AACUCUUAUGGCCUGGAAUCCUUGCGUUUCUGCUGAUGACUGUCAUUUUAGAGUACUUACUAAAGACAAUGGUUGGGGAAAUAGAUAUUUUAAAAAUAAGGGAAAAAGUGGGUAGGGUAAACCCAGGCUUACUUAUGUAAACUCUGAGUGCUGAAGUUAGAAGACAACUUUUAAGAUUAAAAAAAAAAAAAAAAAAAAAGAUUUCUGGUAGCCGCCAGAAGCUAAGAACAGAUUCUCCCUCUGAGCCUCCAGAACCCAGAUGACACCUUGAUUUCAGACUUCUGGCCUCCAAAACUGUGAGAGAAGAAAUGUGUUGUUUUAAGGCACCCAGCUGGUGACAGUUCAUCACAGUAGCCACAGGAAACUAAUACCCAGCCCCAUGGCAGGCAUAGGUCAAGCCUGGCACAGUCUGGAUCUCAGUCCCUGACUCAGACCCUGGAUGCUCGCUGCCUUGUACAGAAACAACCUGCUCAACCAAACAGGGUGACCCUGCUGAAGCCGCAAAUGUCCAACAGUCCUGCCAACCGUGGAUGCUUCUGUAGCUUCCCUUUAGCUCUCCCUCCUGGCAUGAAACCAGACACAGACUACCCAGAAGAUGAACUGAGCACUCUGCAAUGGGCCCAGCACGCUGCUGCAUCUGAGACCAUCUUCUCGGCCCUAACAACCCUGGCAGGCUCUUCUCUCUGGUGGGGAAAUUGGGCUUAGGGAAAGGACAUCUUUAGGACAGUCAUCCCACCAAGUAGAAUGACUCUAUGCAGCCUGAAUACUGUUUCCCUGGGAGGAAAAAAAUCCAAAGCAUAAACUUUUAUAAGCUGUUUUAAUUAAAACACUCUUUGUAAAGUGAUGUAUUUGAAGCAAGGGAGGAGAAAGGUUUUCUGGCAAAAGUGUCUUUUGUGGUGUUUCUUUGGUGAGCAAAAGGAACUCAACUGAUGAAAACACCAAAGCACAAACAUUCUGUGGCCAGUAAAGUGGGUGGAGGGGGCAAUGGAGACAACCUCAGGUGGGGCCCAGCUUGUAACGCUGGCAGGGCUCUGUUAAUGUGCUCCAUAAAGGGCUUUGGAGGGCAGGAGGAGCACCACCAACAUUUUAAAUGUGAGGCCAACCAUAAAACGAUUCAUGAUUAGUCCACUAAAAUGUGUUUAUUGGCAAAUAGGAAAGAGAUCCCUGAAAAUAAGCAGGAACAGGUGAUUUUCAAGGCUGACUUAGGUCUCCUAUUCAGCUACUCAACAAUUAUAUCCGAGCUACGUGCAGUGGCUCACCCUGUAAUCCCAGCACUUUGGAGGCUGAGACAAGAGGCGAAAAGUUCGAGACCAGCCUGGGCAACCUAGCGAGACACCAUCUCUAUGAAAAAUUUAAAAAUUAGCCUAGCAUGUGUCUUGUGCCUGUGGUCCCAGCUACUCAGGAGGCUGAGGUGAGAGGAUCACUUGAGCCCCAGAGGUUGAGGUUACAGUGAGCUGUGAUCACACCACUGCACUCCAGUCUGGGUGACAGAGUGAGACACUGUCUCAAGAAAAAACAAAAAUUAAAACAAACAAUAACAACAACAACAACAACAAAAAAAAACGGCAAAGUUAGAACACACAAAAGAUAGUAUAGUUCCUUACCCAUCCACCACUUGGUUUUGAGGAGAAAAGGGAAGUAAGAAGAGUUGAAGAGAAGAAAAACAGAACAGAAGAGUGGGAAAGGAAGAUGAAAGGGUGCUAUGGAGUACUAUGCACCUGUUUAGAAGUGGGGAAGUAGCACAAACACUAGCAAAAGAAGAACCACCAUGGAGUUCCUCCUUGCACAUCUCUCUCCCCUCCUGAAGGCCUAGGGUGAGCCCACAGCAUUGUUCCAGCAGUGAGGGAGUCUUCACUGCCUCCUGAGACUCUCUCACGGCUCUUAAGAUACCUCCCUGAAGUCCCUCCAAAGAAUUCAAUGUGCCCCUAGUCUAAAUCAGUUUCCUCCAUCAUAAAUACUCAUAGAUGACGCAACAAUAAAGCGUUAAUAACGAUAAUGGCAA
Homo sapiens (human) is the source of this 2002-nucleotide long non-coding RNA. Lineage: Eukaryota; Metazoa; Chordata; Mammalia; Primates; Hominidae. The record is from Ensembl.